AUUGAACGCUGGCGGCAUGCCUUACACAUGCAAGUCGAACGGUAGAGUUGCAAUACUCGAGAGUGGCGAACGGGUGAGUAACAUAUCGGAACGUGCCCAAUCGUGGGGGAUAACGUAGAGAAAUUUACGCUAAUACCGCAUACGAUCUAAGGAUGAAAGCGGGGGAUCGCAAGACCUCGCGCGAUUGGAGCGGCUGAUAUCAGAUUAGGUUGUUGGUGAGGUAAAAGCUCACCAAGCCGACGAUCUGUAGCUGGUUUGAGAGAACGACCAGCCACACUGGGACUGAGACACGGCCCAGACUCCUACGGGAGGCAGCAGUGGGGAAUUUUUGGACAAUGGGCGCAAGCCUGAUCCAGCAAUGCCGCGUGCAGGAUGAAGGCC
Molecule: ribosomal RNA, 381 nt
Filed under: uncultured bacterium
Lineage: Bacteria
Description: bacterial SSU rRNA
Rfam family: Bacterial small subunit ribosomal RNA
Source: RNAcentral